GACGAACGCUGGCGGCGUGCUUAACACAUGCAAGUCGAACGGAAAGGCCCUGCUUUUGUGGGGUGCUCGAGUGGCGAACGGGUGAGUAGCACGUGAGUAACCUGCCCUUGACUUUGGGAUAACUUCAGGAAACUGGGGCUAAUACCGGAUAGGAGCUCCUGCUGCAUGGUGGGGGUUGGAAAGUUUCGGCGGUUGGGGAUGGACUCACGGCUUAUCAGCUUGUUGGUGGGGUAGUGGCUUACCAAGGCUUUGACGGGUAGCCGGCCUGAGAGGGUGACCGGCCACAUUGGGACUGAGAUACGGCCCAGACUCCUACGGGAGGCAGCAGUGGGGAAUAUUGCACAAUGGGCGGAAGCCUGAUGCAGCAACGCCGCGUGCGGGAUGACGGCCUUCGGGUUGUAAACCGCUUUCGCCUGUGACGAAGCGUGAGUGACGGUAAUGGGUAAAGAAGCACCGGCUAACUACGUG
This 468-nucleotide ribosomal RNA is filed under the name uncultured bacterium. RNAcentral's name for it is "partial 16S ribosomal RNA". It matches the Rfam family "Bacterial small subunit ribosomal RNA", at positions 28 to 507 of the family's 1533-position model. The record is from RNAcentral.